RNAcentral lists this ribosomal RNA (468 nucleotides) under uncultured bacterium. RNAcentral describes it as "partial 16S ribosomal RNA". It matches the Rfam family "Bacterial small subunit ribosomal RNA", at positions 28 to 507 of the family's 1533-position model. The record is from RNAcentral.
GACGAACGCUGGCGGCGUGCUUAACACAUGCAAGUCGAACGGAAAGGCCCUGCUUUUGUGGGGUGCUCGAGUGGCGAACGGGUGAGUAACACGUGAGUAACCUGCCCUUGACUUUGGGAUAACUUCAGGAAACUGGGGCUAAUACCGGAUAGGAGCUCCUGCUGCAUGGUGGGGGUUGGAAAGUUUCGGCGGUUGGGGAUGGACUCGCGGCUUAUCCGCUUGUUGGUGGGGUAGUGGCUUACCAAGGCUUUGACGGGUAGCCGGCCUGAGAGGGUGAACGGCCACAUGGGGACUGAGAUACGGCCCAGACUCCUACGGGAGGCAGCAGUGGAGAAUAUUGCACAAUGGGCGGAAGCCUGAUGCAGCAACGCCGCGUGCGGGAUGACGGCCUUCGAGUUGUAAACCGCUUUCGCCGGUGACGAAGCGUGAGUGACGGUAAUGGGUAAAGAAGCACCGGCUAACUACGUG